This 212-nucleotide ribosomal RNA is filed under the name uncultured bacterium. RNAcentral describes it as "partial 16S ribosomal RNA". It matches the Rfam family "Bacterial small subunit ribosomal RNA", at positions 122 to 334 of the family's 1533-position model. The record is from RNAcentral.
CAACCUUCCUACAAGUGGGGAAUAGCCCAGAGAAAUUUGGAUUAAUACCCCGUAACAUAUAGAUGUGGCAUCACAACUAUAUUAUAGCUUCGGCGCUUGUUGAUGGGUGUGCGGCUGAUUAGAUAGUUGGCGGGGUAACGGCCCACCAAGUCUACGAUCAGUAGCUGAUGUGAGAGCAUGAUCAGCCACACGGGCACUGAGACACGGGCCCG